This 484-nucleotide ribosomal RNA is filed under the name uncultured bacterium. RNAcentral's name for it is "partial 16S ribosomal RNA". It matches the Rfam family "Bacterial small subunit ribosomal RNA", at positions 30 to 507 of the family's 1533-position model. The record is from RNAcentral.
AUUGAACGCUGGCGGCAGGCCUAACACAUGCAAGUCAAGCGGAUGAAGGGAGCUUGCUCCUGGAUUCAGCGGCGGACGGGUGAGUAAUGCCUAGGAAUCUGCCUGGUAGUGGGGGAUAACGUCCGGAAACGGGCGCUAAUACCGCAUACGUCCUGAGGGAGAAAGUGGGGGAUCUUCGGACCUCACGCUAUCAGAUGAGCCUAGGUCGGAUUAGCUAGUUGGUGGGGUAAAGGCCUACCAAGGCGACGAUCCGUAACUGGUCUGAGAGGAUGAUCAGUCACACUGGAACUGAGACACGGUCCAGACUCCUACGGGAGGCAGCAGUGGGGAAUAUUGGACAAAGGGCGAAAGCCUGAUCCAGCCAUGCCGCGUGUGUGAAGAAGGUCUUCGGAUUAUAAAGCACUUUAAGUUGGGAGGAAGGGCAGUAAGUUAAUACCUUGCUGUUUUGACGUUACCAACAGAAUAAGCACCGGCUAACUUCGUG